CAGUCGCCACGGUAAUACGGAGGGUGCAAGCGUUAAUCGGAUUUACUGGGCGUAAAGCGUGCGUAGGCGGCUUUUUAAGUCGGAUGUGAAAUCCCUGAGCUUAACUUAGGAAUUGCAUUCGAUACUGGGAAGCUAGAGUAUGGGAGAGGAUGGUAGAAUUCCAGGUGUAGCGGUGAAAUGCGUAGAGAUCUGGAGGAAUACCGAUGGCGAAGGCAGCCAUCUGGCCUAAUACUGACGCUGAGGUACGAAAGCAUGGGGAGCAAACAGGAUUAGAUACCCCCGUAGUCCCUGUCUCUUAUAC
Molecule: ribosomal RNA, 301 nt
Filed under: uncultured bacterium
Lineage: Bacteria
Description: partial 16S ribosomal RNA
Rfam family: Bacterial small subunit ribosomal RNA
Source: RNAcentral